This 70-nucleotide transfer RNA is filed under the name Dipodomys ordii (Ord's kangaroo rat). It matches the Rfam family "tRNA". From Rfam's summary of the family: Transfer RNA (tRNA) molecules are approximately 80 nucleotides in length. Their secondary structure includes four short double-helical elements and three loops (D, anti-codon, and T loops). The record is from Rfam by way of RNAcentral. Lineage: Eukaryota; Metazoa; Chordata; Mammalia; Rodentia; Heteromyidae.
GGGCGUGUGGCUCAGAGGUAGAGCACUCGCCUAGCAUGCCUGAGGCCCUGGGUUCGAUUCCUCAGCACCA